UAGGGAAUCUUCGGCAAUGGGGGCAACCCUGACCGAGCAACGCCGCGUGAGUGAAGAAGGUUUUCGGAUCGUAAAGCUCUGUUGUAAGAGAAGAACGUGUGUGAGAGUGGAAAGUUCACACAGUGACGGUAACUUACCAGAAAGGGACGGCUAACUACGUGCCAGCAGCCGCGGUAAUACGUAGGUCCCGAGCGUUGUCCGGAUUUAUUGGGCGUAAAGCGAGCGCAGGCGGUUUAAUAAGUCUGAAGUUAAAGGCAGUGGCUUAACCAUUGUUGCUUUGGAAUCUGUUAAACUUGAGUGCAGAAGGGGAGAGUGGAAUUCCAUGUGUAGCGGUGAAAUGCGUAGAUAUAUGGAGGAACACCGGUGGCGAAAGCGGCUCUCUGGUCUGUAACUGACGCUGAGGCUCGAAAGCGUGGGGAGCAAACAGG
This 428-nucleotide ribosomal RNA is filed under the name bacterium. Its description in RNAcentral is "partial 16S ribosomal RNA". It matches the Rfam family "Bacterial small subunit ribosomal RNA", at positions 355 to 776 of the family's 1533-position model. The record is from RNAcentral.